UGUGCCUAAUACAUGCAAGUCGAACGCGUUGGCCCAAUUGAUUGAYGGUGCUUGCACCUGAUUGAUUUUGGUCGCCAACGAGUGGCGGACGGGUGAGUAACACGUAGGUAACCUGCCCAGAAGCGGGGGACAACAUUUGGAAACAGAUGCUAAUACCGCAUAACAGCGUUGUUCGCAUGAACAACGCUUAAAAGAUGGCUUCUCGCUAUCACUUCUGGAUGGACCUGCGGUGCAUUAGCUUGUUGGUGGGGUAACGGCCUACCAAGGCGAUGAUGCAUAGCCGAGUUGAGAGACUGAUCGGCCACAAUGGGACUGAGACACGGCCCAUACUCCUACGGGAGGCAGCAGUAGGGAAUCUUCCACAAUGGGCGCAAGCCUGAUGGAGCAACACCGCGUGAGUGAAGAAGGGUUUCGGCUCGUAAAGCUCUGUUGUUAAAGAAGAACACGUAUGAGAGUAACUGUUCAUACGUUGACGGUAUUUAACCAGAAAGUCACGGCUAACUACGUGCCAGCAGCCGCGGUAAUAC
RNAcentral lists this ribosomal RNA (527 nucleotides) under Limosilactobacillus fermentum. RNAcentral describes it as "bacterial SSU rRNA". It matches the Rfam family "Bacterial small subunit ribosomal RNA", at positions 43 to 526 of the family's 1533-position model. The record is from RNAcentral. Lineage: Bacteria; Bacillati; Bacillota; Bacilli; Lactobacillales; Lactobacillaceae.